Molecule: ribosomal RNA, 218 nt
Filed under: Clostridioides difficile
Lineage: Bacteria; Bacillati; Bacillota; Clostridia; Peptostreptococcales; Peptostreptococcaceae
Description: partial 23S ribosomal RNA
Rfam family: Bacterial large subunit ribosomal RNA
Source: RNAcentral
CAUCACAUCCUGGGGCUGUAGUAGGUCCCAAGGGUUGGGCUGUUCGCCCAUUAAAGUGGUACGCGAGCUGGGUUCAGAACGUCGUGAGACCGUUCGGUCCCUAUCCGUCGCAGGCGUAGGAAAUUUGGGAAGACCUGUCCUUAGUACGAGAGGACCGGGAUGGACGUACCUCUGGUGUACCAGUUGUCCUGCCAAGGGCAUGGCUGGGUAGCUAUGUA